CUCUUUCCCUAUUUCAGAGCUCACCACUGUAUUCUAAACAGAAGCCAAUAGAGGGAGAAAAACAAAGCCAAGUGCAAAAGCUGUGGGCACUGAAAGUUUUGCUCCACCGGCCGCGCAGCACCCACUUGGGGUCGGGCUUUGGGACUUGGGGGAGUCAGGAGCAGGCGGGGGCUGGGGAGAGGACGAGGCCCUGGGGAGGGGCUGGAAAAGGCUUUUCACAGCGACUGGCACUUGAUAUUUCCAAGUCUUCUGGAUGUCACUCACCGGAAACCAGACCCUGCGGUGCGAAGACUCAGGUGGCAAAGGCAAAAGCUGGACUGCAUUGUGUGGCCCCAGGGAGCUGCAGACAGAGGAACUGAGUCCUGGCCACUGUGCCUGCUGUCUCUUACAAGUUUAGAGAUGCUGGCAUUGCAUCGAAAUCGGACAACACUCCCUUCCCUCCCUUCCCAGAGACUCCCAGCUUUGGUGUCCUUAAGAAAGGGACUUACUGACUUCAUGCAUCUUUCAAGCAAAGAUUAACAACAAUGAUAAUAGAGUAAUAAGUUGGCCUGGAAUCUUGGCAAAACUGAAAACCACAUGUUCUGAGAGUCUCUUCCUGCGCUGGUAAUUAAGUUUCUUCCCCCUACAAAAUGAGACUCUUUUGGACCAACAGGCGUUAGGCAUGUGGACAUCUUGAUGGGAUCCCAUCUUCUCUUUUGAGGAUCAAAUCCUGGCCAACUUUGUUUGAUGUUCAGAGCCCUGUAUGGGAGUCAAAGCCUGCUAAUAAAGCAGUCGUGCCUGUUUGGAGUCAUUCUACAGCUCAGGACUUCAUCCCAGGAGGGAGGUGUAGUGGGUGACUCACUAACUGUAAUAUAAACAACGACAACAAAAGGGUCUCUGAGUCACACUGACAUUGUGGAAUCAAACAUAUAUCUCUGUGCCCUGACCCCCACCAAGGAUGCAGUCACACGGAUGUCCAGUUAUCUUCUAAUCAAUGCCCAGUCCAGAUGGUCACCACCCACCUCUGCAGCAAAAGUCACUGCGCAUUUGGAUAUCUACACAGCUUGUUUGUAACUGAGUUAGUGCAGCCUAGUAAGGUACAGAUGUUUUCCUUUUAAUCCUGUUUGUACUUUGAAAUGGUCACACUCGAUGUCAUUUGGCUGCAGGAAGCUCCUCCAGGAAUGAUCCCGCAAGAGAAAUGGGAUGUGCGUGGCACCAUCUGAUUCGGGGCAGCUCUGUCACUCCCUGCAGAACUGAGCACACUGAAUUUAUUUGAAUAGAACAGGUUAUGAGGGUGAGGAUAAACAUAUCAAUACCUCAUUUUUUUUUUGAACGCCGACUCUAUGAUCGGAUUACCUGGCCCUUCAAGGAGACAAGGUCUUGCUCUGUCACCCAGGCUGGAGUGCAAUGGCACAAUCAUAGCUCAGUCCAGCCUCAACCUCCUGGGCUCCAGCGAUCCUCCCACUUCAGCCUCCUGAGUAACUGGGACCACAGGCACACACCACCGCACCUAACUAAUUUUUUUUAAAAACUUUUU
This 1516-nucleotide long non-coding RNA is filed under the name Homo sapiens (human). RNAcentral describes it as "non-protein coding lnc-CARD11-8:2". Lineage: Eukaryota; Metazoa; Chordata; Mammalia; Primates; Hominidae. The record is from RNAcentral.